Molecule: ribosomal RNA, 434 nt
Filed under: uncultured bacterium
Lineage: Bacteria
Description: partial 16S ribosomal RNA
Rfam family: Bacterial small subunit ribosomal RNA
Source: RNAcentral
AGCGAACGCUGGCGGCAGGCCUAACACAUGCAAGUCGAACGAACCUUUCGGGGUUAGUGGCGGACGGGUGAGUAACACGUGGGAACGUGCCUUUAGGUUCGGAAUAACUCAGGGAAACUUGUGCUAAUACCGAAUGUGCCCUUCGGGGGAAAGAUUUAUCGCCUUUAGAGCGGCCCGCGUCUGAUUAGCUAGUUGGUUGAGGUAAUGGCUCACCAAGGCGACGAUCAGUAGCUGGUCUGAGAGGAUGAUCAGCCACAUUGGGACUGAGACACGGCCCAAACUCCUACGGGAGGCAGCAGUGGGGAAUCUUGCGCAAUGGGCGAAAGCCUGACGCAGCCAUGCCGCGUGAAUGAUGAAGGUCUUAGGAUUGUAAAAUUCUUUCACCGGGGACGAUAAUGACGGUACCCGGAGAUGAAGCCCCGGCUAACUUCGUG